Molecule: long non-coding RNA, 6733 nt
Organism: Vespa velutina
Lineage: Eukaryota; Metazoa; Arthropoda; Insecta; Hymenoptera; Vespidae
Exons: 3
Source: RefSeq, a predicted model, not a curated record
ACCAUUGUGAGUUUAUUAUUCCCUGAAGGACCAAAAGGGAAGGAAAAUAACGAAAAAAGUCUCGUGGAUGACAAAAAGUUUUGAUAUUUUCACGACUCAUCCCAAGUUGCAUCUUGCGUCGCUACAGUGCCGCAGGAAAACGAGAAAGGAGACUAUCGAAGAAUAUAAGAGGGGUGGAUAGAACGAGAGAGAGAGAGAGAGAGAGAGAAAGAGAAAGAGAGGAAAGACCAGCAGCAUAGUUGGAUACUGAAAAACCACCCAAUCCCUCCCUACUUUCUCUCUCUCUCUCUCUUCCCCUUCCUCCCUUCCUUUCUCUCUCAUGUAGGACUAACAUACGACUUGCAUUCAGCCGCACCACCAUUCAAUUCAUCGAAUUUCCAAAAUCUAGGAUUUCUACGGGCACGCUCGUGCUCGUAUAGGUGAAGAGGCUGCUGCAAGCAUCACUACAUCGUUGAAGAGAGAAAUAGGGGAAGAGAAAAUGAGAGAGAAAGAGAGAGAGAGAGAGAAAGAGAGAGAGCUGACACAGUGACACAUUAUGCCGUAAUGUGGGGGCACGUGGCAGAUGUAGCGGACUCGAGCCUAACUGGAUGCAUCGAUGUCUCUGAAAGUGCCAAUGUAAAACCGGUUCUUUCCUCGGUAUAAUUUCAUUGCAUAAAUUUCCAUUUUUCCGAAUAUCGGAAAAGAUGUUAACGUGAGAAUUAUCGAUAAAACGUUUUCAGAGAUAUUGUCGAUCAAAGCGUUCAACAAAGGGUAAGUUGUAAUAUAUUCAAAAGUAAAAAAGGUACCUUUAAAUUCAGCAUAUCUUCUUUAAGGACGUAUAUUAUUUUCUUGAAAAUUGAUCAUAAGGUAAAGAAGUAUUUCGCAAUUCAAUAUAUUUCUAACGGAAGGAAAGAAAGGGGGGAAAAAAAAAAAGUAGGCGGAUUUUGGAUACGGUAUAAGCGAUCCGAAGGGAUCCACCACUUUUUGUUUGUUACAUAGCGGUGCAGGCAUAUAAGUUUACUCCCACCGCAUUGCUUCCUUUGUCAAGAACUGUGCCAACAUGUCAAGAAUGUCUAGCUGCACGCGGCGAAGGGGACACAAUCGUGCGUUUUUCUUUUGGAUGCAUGCAGGGCAAGAACCGUUUUUGGGGUCAGAAUCCAUAAAACUCGAGGGUUUUUAGACCACGCACGCAACUACCUGAAGUAGUAGCGACGAAAAUGGGUGUACCGUAUGGGCGACUUCCGUUGCACGACUGCAUUCUGAUGGGCACGAAUUUGUUCAUGCCAAAGGAACAAUGAAAGCAGAUGCGAGACCAAACGACAACGGCAACUAAGAGACGAAGACGACCGAAAGUUAAUCUUUUAUAUGAAAGGAUGUUAUAUAUCUCUUGGUGCAUUAAGGCAUAAUCUAAUGAUACCUAAUCUACUUCACGCUUCAAUUCGUGAACGAAUGUGGAUAAAAGAAGAUCUCGGAGGGCGUGUCGAAGAGCAGAAACUUUCGUAUAAAUUUGUGUUAACGAUCGACAAAGUUACAAAAGCGUAUCAUUUAACGGGAAAGAUAAAUUAUUUAUGUACAUUGAUUACAAUUAAUUUCAUUCGUUUCAUUGAUAAAGAUUAAUCGUACUUUAUUAAGUCAUUGAUUUAUUUAAUGUCGUUCCAAAAAAUUUUGUUACGAUAUCUAUCGUUAUGUUUUCAAUAUUUUUUCGAAGAUAAUAUGACCAAACAGAUUGUAUAAUAAUAUUCUGUACUAUACUCUCUUUCAUCGGUAACAAGCUUUUAUGCAGUGAAUAAUCAAUCAACCCUUUAACGACAACCGCCGUUAUAACGGCAGACUUCUUUUUCUCUCUUCCUCUCUAUUCCCCUUUUCGUACCUAGCACCACUCCGACUCAGCUAUAUAAUGUAUCUACACUUUUAUAGACCAAGUACCCCACGUUGCCAAGUUCGCGCAUACGACCUGCAUUAAUCAACCGCCCACCGAAAAAAAAAAUCCAUAUCUCAUCAACUAUUUAAGCGUCCUCCUCUUCCAUCGCCAUCAAGCGCUACUGUACUUCGAGAGAAAAAAUUAAAAAUUAAAAUCACAAUUUCCCGUCCGUUAGCUACUUCUCUGUUUCUCUACCUCCUUUCUUACUUUCUCUCACUCUCUCUCUCUCUCUCUCUCUCUCUCUCUCUCGCGCGCGCGCUUGUAUCACGAGCCUAUCGAAGAAGAAUAUCACAGAAAAUGGAAGGUAGGAGGUAAAGAAAACAAGAUGGUAAGAAUGGUAAAAUAGAAGGAAAAAAAAAAUAAAGGACGAGGACCGGUCGAUGACAAGCUAGGACGAAGAGAUACAAAGAGAUAGAAAGAGAGAAAGGUGAAAAAAAAGGAGAUAAAAGAAAAGAUGCUCAACGUAAAUCAUAAAAAAGAAUGCGCGCAUAAAAAAGUCAAGGUUUGGUCUUCUCGAAACUGAAAAAAAGGAUAUAGCUAGGUAAAACGAAGAAAUCCACAUUAUAUAAACGAAGUAUAGGCAAUAAAGUGAAAAUCGUAUUAUAAGGUAAAAUGUAUAAGGUCGAUGUAAAACCGGAUGUUACAAAAUAUGACAGGUUUAGUAUACUUUUUACUCCAAUUAUAUAUAGAUGUUGUUCUUAAUUCAAGAACUUUUUCUCCAAGUGUCUAAAGGCCCACUAUUUCAUUUCAAGGUUUUUUUAUAGACAUGUUCGUGGAACAUCUUUUAAAACGUCUACACAAUUUUACGUUGAAACGAAAAUUAAAUAAUCGAAAAAAAAAAAGAUUCCAUAAAAAGAAAAAAAAGAAUAAAUAACGAAAAUUGGGAUGGGCAACCUUGAAAAAAAUUAAUUUUUAUGAAUGAGAAACGAUUUCGUGUUUUCUCACUUUAUCUACAUAAGUUAACAUUCGUUCGAGUUACCUUGCAACCCUCCACGUAUUCACGUCGGAAUGCAGUGUGGUGCGGUUUAACCUACAUACGCGUCUUUAACGAGAUUCUUCCAGCGUCAUGCACUUUGCCCUGGACAUGAGCAGAAACGAGGCAUAGAGGAGCGUGCGAUCAUUGGAAGAGAAAGAAUUUCAAAUUCGGGUCGAUGAACCCUUUUCGGUGAAGGCUUCAAAGUAGAAGAAGCGAGGAACGUAGGGCGAAAGGAUUCGUCCCUUCCAUCCGCGCGAACCCACACGGAUCUGUGCCACGGAGGGGUUGAAAAAAAUGUAUUGAGUGAUCGUGGGUGAGUCACUACUAUCGGCUGGGGUGAUAGCGCCUGGGGUGAGGCAAGCGGACUUUUUAUCUACAGGGAUUUGCAGCGAGCCUAGGUCCGGUUGCACCCUCAUACCUAACUCUGCCAGCCGUACCAUCGACCCAGGAGAAAGGAUGGUACAAGAGACAGAACGAAAGAGAGAGAGAGAGAGGGAGAGGGAGAGAAAAAAAGAAAUUAUUCAUGAGAUGCGCGCAACUUCUGUCCAUAGGCCUUUGCUACUUGUGCUUCGAUCACCACUACCGCUACCACUACCAUCCAUUUGGGAAGGGUUGUUCGAGAGAUUUGUUACGGGGAUUUCUAAGGUUCAUCGAUAAUUCCACUACCGUACCGGAAUCUGCUUGUAAAGGAAAUAUCCGUAACAAUUCUGAAUAAAAGAAAGAGAGAGAGAAAGAGAGAGAGAGAGAGAAAGAGAGAGAGAGAGAGAGAGAAAAUUAGUAUGCAUAAUAUCAAGUGGAGCAAACCCCGUCCCGUGAGAGAAAGAGGAUGAUCUAUUACGGGUAAAAGAAAAUCGUGAGAUAAUAUUAAGCACUCGUGAUUAUAACAAUAGAUGAAAUUAUCAAAAGAAUCGAAGAAAGAAGUUUCCAUAAGGAAAAGGGAAGAGAAAAAUGGAGGAUGAAGAAAAGGGAAAGAGUCUACGAAAUUUCUGCUGAAACGGCCGGUUCUUAGCAUGCCGACUUUUUUUUUUCUACGGAGGCCAAUUGCCAGAACGAAUAAAAUUUGGAUGAGUAAUGAGGCCGACGAUGCCAUUUAACAUUUUGUAAUCAGAGAUUCAACGCGGAGGGUGUUCGCGCGACGAAGAAGGGUACGCUGUACGUUCCUUAGGAUUGUACUCUCAGCAUAAAAAGUGCACCCCCACGGUAUUUCAUUCGCAACCACUACCACUACCAUCACCAUCACCAGCACCACCAUCAUCAACAUUAUUCUGGUUCUAGGCAGUGUCCUUAAUGUCGUACGAGGCAGCCGGUGCGCGCGCGUAAACCUAGUUCGUGCCGGCAGCAGCGCCAAGUAAUUUCGCUUAAAAACGUAAUUAGUGUGCCUCGAGAUGGGGUUGAGGAAAAAAAUCGUUAGGGGUAGCCAAGUUUUUUUCAUCGCGUGGGGUGCGGACCGAGGUAUGGCGAUGGGCAAGUAAGGGUGCCUUCGCCCGAAGACUGGGGUCCCACCCUUUGCCUCGCGCGUCGCUUUGCCCGCGUAUCUUUCUUUCCUGAUCAAAUCUUUGGGGUGGACUUCUCGAGUGCGCCAGAGCAACUCGCCCGUAGGAUAUCGAGCCGUACGUCUUCGAUACUGUAAGGAACUUGAAAGGGUAGAGAAAAGGGAGUAAAGAAGAGAGUGCAAAGGGAAAGAGGAAAGAAGGUGGAUAGGAAAAGGAAGAUGGUUGGGCAUGGAGGGUAGGAAGAGAGUUACAUGACUAGAUUGAUAGGCAGAAAAGAAAAGGGAAAAACUUCGCAUGGAGAAAGCAAGGUUCACACUCGUAUUCUUGAUCAUAUCGUAUAUAUUCCUAUUUUUCUAUAUUCUUCUCAAUUUACGUAGGCCAGAUACACGGAUAGUAUAUUCAAUAAAAUUGCAUCGAAGAAAAUACCAAUAUAGUAAUAUUUGAUCUAUUCUACCGUAAUCAAAUUGGAAAUGUACGAGUUCCAUGUUAAAAAGAGAAUUGAUAAAUGCAAUUAAAUUAUAUUGCAGGGAAAAAAAAAAUAAGCUGAAUAGAAUGACAAUCAUAGGGUAUUAAAAUUUCUUCCUUCUCAUGGAACUAUAGAUCCAGAAAUAAUUUUCACGUGAUAUGCGUAUGAUGACGUCGGACUAACGAAAUCUAUGAAUGAAAAGUGACACCCCUCGAUAUUGGUCGUGCAACGCCCAAAGCGUUAUGCAUCACCUUCGUAACGCCCUCGCUGGAUCGAGUGCAGAUCGAUUUGACACAAAAAGCACGAUAUCCUGUGAAAGCCCCUACAUACUUUUUAAAGACCUAUACGAUGGACCCUUGCAUCAUUUUUAUACCACUUUGUCUCCGCAACGCGUGUCUACGCUAUUAAUCGUCGAGACUUUGUACAAUUUCGAUAAGCCUUUUUCCUUUCGAGUAGGCACUUCGAUGAUCAAAAGAACGAAUCGAUUCGAUGAAAUCAAAUUGGACGGGGACACGAGACGGUGUCCUGUUAGACGUUUAAAUUCACUAAAAAGAAGAAAAGGAGAAAAAAAACAGAAGAAAAAAAAGAUAAAGGUAAUUUCGUAUCAUUUUCUCACUACUAUCUAUCUCUCUUUUACUCUGCGUUCUCUUUUCUUUCGUACAAAGAAAACGAACGUAAAGAAAAAUAAAUGUUGGUAAAAGAAAAGUGCCAGAGGCUGCAGCAUAAACACCCUGUCAAGUAUACGGCACCUGAGGCCACGAAUUAUAGGUUCAUACUCUUACAGUGGAUUUACGCAGGUACGAAUUUGCGUUACCACCCUCACGCCUUUUCCCUUAGUACCAAUAUCAACGCAAAAAUGUACUUCGGUUCGAACACUAAAAUCUGAUAUUAAUGAUAACUGAAAAAUCUUGACGGUGAAUAUCGGACCAAUAUUUUUUUAAAGAAUACAUUUAUAUCUAUGAAGUACAACUCCGUUUACAAAUUUGAUAAUGCAUUAAUUAUUUAAUAUACGAUAAUAAAUUAUUUUCACAUAGAGCAAGCAUCGGUUAUUUUUUAAAAUUCUUCAGUAUAUAAAUUUUUAAUGGUUUAUAAAGAACUUAUAAAAAGAGAGAGAGAGAGAGAGAAACUAUCACGUACAGUAAAAAUUCCGAAUGUUAUAAAAUGGUUCACCAUUAAAUGAGAAAUGAAGAUAAGUGCAUACGUGAGCUUCUUCCUUCUGUGUUUUCUUUUUUUCUUUUUACAUUUUGAUUCGCAAAAGAGAGUAAGCGAAGAAAGAAGGAAAACGAAGAACACGAAACUCUUCUGUUAACGGACGUGGAUAGUAAAAGAAAAAACAAAAAAAAAUGAAGAGAAAAAUAAAGAAAUAUAAGAAGAUAAAGAGUAAAAGAAAUAAGAACAACGUGGCGCGAAAGUCUGAUUACAAAUUUAUCAAGAAACAGUUCUUGGAACGUUGGUCUUCUUAGCAAAGGGUCGAACCUUUAAAUUCACCUUCGACCUCCGCCGUCGCGGCGAAUCUUUUGCCCAUCUUCGAAAGGGCGCGAGUUAGGUGAGAAGGAGGAUGGAGAAAGUGAUGGUGAGGAAAGAAGAGAGUGAGAGAAAGAGAAAAGAAACGGUAGGAAAAAAAGUAGAGAGUAAGUUUACUUCUGGACUCAUUGGCAAGGGCUGAUGGAGAAAGGGCCGAUGUUGGAAGGACAAGGGAAGGGCCGAUUGAAGCAGACAGGAUGUUUAAUUCAAAGAAACUGGAGACACGCCCCGCUAACUACGGAACGAGCUCGAAGACGUCGACCUUCGAAAGAGAAAAAUUCGAAGAAGAUACAGCCGCGAUUCUCUUUGCCCUCGCAAAUCUUGGGUUCUGCUCAGUAAUUGGUUUCUCUCUUUCUCUCUCUCUCUCUCUCUCU